AAUGAUGUGGCUCAGUGGUAGAGCACUUGCCUAGCAUGCAUAGACCCUGGGUUCAAUUCCCAAUACCACAA
RNAcentral lists this transfer RNA (71 nucleotides) under Marmota marmota marmota (Alpine marmot). It matches the Rfam family "tRNA". From Rfam's summary of the family: Transfer RNA (tRNA) molecules are approximately 80 nucleotides in length. Their secondary structure includes four short double-helical elements and three loops (D, anti-codon, and T loops). The record is from Rfam by way of RNAcentral. RNAcentral also lists the same sequence under 2 other names. Lineage: Eukaryota; Metazoa; Chordata; Mammalia; Rodentia; Sciuridae.